GUAACAAGGUCUCCGUUGGUGAACCAGCGGAGGGAUCAUUACUGAGUACUACACUCUCUACCCUUUGUGAACUAUUAUACCUGUUGCUUCGGCGGCGCCCGCAAGGGUGCCCGCCGGUCUCAUCAGAAUCUCUGUUUUCGAACCCGACGAUACUUCUGAGUGUUCUUAGCGAACUGUCAAAACUUUUAACAACGGAUCUCUUGGCUCCAGCAUCGAUGAAGAACGCAGCGAAACGCGAUAUGUAAUGUGAAUUGCAGAAUUCAGUGAAUCAUCGAAUCUUUGAACGCACAUGGCGCCUUCCAGUAUCCUGGGAGGCAUGCCUGUCCGAGCGUCGUUUCAACCCUCGAGCCCCUGUGGCCCGGCGUUGGGGAUCUGCCACGGCAGGCCCCUAAAACCAGUGGCGGACCCGAAGGGCCCUCUCCUUUGCGCAGUAGCAUUCGCCUCGCAUUGGGAGUCCUCGGCGUCCUGCCUCUAAACCCCCCACAAGUCCGCUUCGGCGGCACCAAGGUUGACCUCGGAUCAGGUAGGAAUACCCGCUGAACUUAAGC
RNAcentral lists this unclassified non-coding RNA (548 nucleotides) under Plectosphaerella pauciseptata. RNAcentral describes it as "sequence contains 18S rRNA gene, ITS1, 5.8S rRNA gene, ITS2". The stretch from base 181 to 334 matches the Rfam family "5.8S ribosomal RNA". The record is from RNAcentral. Lineage: Eukaryota; Fungi; Ascomycota; Sordariomycetes; Glomerellales; Plectosphaerellaceae.